AGAAUAAUUAUUUCCUUUUGGAUGAACUCAGAAAACAAGUCAGUGGAUGAUACUAUACCUGUUUCCAGACAAAUACUUGUGAGCAUUCCCAACCUGUUAAAAGGAAGCAAUUACGGUAGAGGACCAGACUGCAUGGAUGACCUGAACCUUGCUCACAACAGAUGAGAAAAAAUGACAUUUUUCUCCUUUCUGAAAGACUUUUAUAGCUUGUGAAAAGGAAACUUCAAGGAAGGUGGGGAGAUUGAAGGCUGGACUGUGCUUGCACCCAUCAAGGAUAAACACAAAAUAAAACUUCUGGAAGUUACCAGGCCAGUUAUCUAUUUGGAGACUUGGUUAACUUUGAGCACUAUAUACAAAACAUAUGCUACCAAUCAUGCAAGUCACAGACCUCUGAUGAGGUGAAACCACAAUUUUUCAUACGAGAAACUAUAAGCUCAUUAAGAAAUGAUAAUCAUUCUGUUCCUCUCACAUACCAUGGAGAACUGUACAAGAUGGAAGAAUAUUAAGAGCUAUCACAGAGCACUAUACUCUAAUGAGGAAAGCUCAUGCUUCAAUUUCCUGAGUUUGACCUCUGAAAAGGCACUGAGCCUCUAGGAAUCAAGGUGUUUUUUUUUCUUUCCUUCUGUGUAUUGAGUUCUUCAUUUGUUCAAUGGGGCUAAUAUAACCUCUGUACCUUCUGAGAAUAGAAACGUUAAAGACUGACUCAGUUUUAUGGUAAUGGAAACCAUUUUGUAAGCAAGACCAAAAGAAUCUCCUCUGAAGACCAGUUACAGCCAGAAUGAGAUAGGUCUCUUUCAAAUAUAGCAAAAACUUUCCAAAACAGAGCAUAUAAUAAAUGCACUAGUUUCCUUUUUCUCUCAUUUUAAUCUGCAACAAUGAAAAAUAUUCACUGUGUUUCUUUUCACUACCAUUUCCUUUUUUUCCUUUGUUUUUCUUUAUUCCUUCCCACUCUCAUUCCAUUCCCUACUUUUAUAAUUCCUUUGCUAAUAAACAAAUAGUCCACUCAUCUAAUUCCUUGACUUCAGUGUGCUACAAACCAGCAUAAGGGCUGCAGAAUUUGAUGAAUGCAAGACAGAAUGGAAGCAGAAGAGAAAGUACGAUACGAGGAGGCGAACAGCUCUGGAGUACUGAGCUCAGCAGGCUAAAUACUACCGCCCUGAUAAGCAAUCUCCAAAGGUACGCGUGUACAAUGCCGACAACAGUCUGAAACUCUAUUGCUAUAUUUACAUUAAGGCACAGUAGAAGAUGGGGUGACAAAAGCAGCUGCUACUGAGGACUUGACAUUCACAGCACACAUGUUUCGGAAGGUUUAUCCUGGAAUAUCUUUAGGCAGGUUCUGUGGAUGAGCAUUCAUUGCGUUUCAAAAAGGUCUGUGGCUUGAGGUUAAACAAAAUGGAAUCAAGCUCACGUGCUCUGGAAUUACACAUGGUGUGAACCCAAGCAGAACAAUUAAAAACAUCCAGGAAAUGAGCUUUAAAGUCACCUUCUUUUCUCCAAAUCUAAAUACUGAUGUAAGUGCAUCCUAUGUCAUUUAAAAUUCUCUUGACUUCACAAGUAUUCCAUGUAAAUUUCCCAAUGAAUUUUUGGGAAAUGGACCUUAAUGAAAAUUGAUUUUUAAAUAAAAGUUAUGUUGUUCUUAUUGGAGAACACAGUGAUUUGUAAUGUAAUAGGAGGUUUUUAUGUUUUGUUCAGACUAUCUGGAUAGACAAGAAGAAUGUGCAUGUAGGAAAUGUACAGUCUGCAACACCUAUAAAGGUUACAAAAGUGUACAAAAACAUCUCUUGAAAUUUAAAAUAUUGUUGAUGAAAGGAAUGCUUUUAAACUUUUUAGAGGAGCCACACAUGACAUUUUACCCUUUAAAGAUGGGAAGGUAACAAGAACUUUUCUUCCCCAAAAUGUGGAGCACGCUCAGGUGAAGCUGAAACUGAAUUUCCAGUUAGAUCUCUGCUGCAGCUUACAAAGCUACCUAAAUCGAAGUGACAGUCCAGCCAGGAACUGAGAAAUAUGUCACAACAAAUUCUUUUUAAAUAUAAAAUAAUUUCACAUGCUCUGCAGACCAUUACCAUUUUGUAAUUUUAAAGAGAGAUGAAGACAAUCCUUGCACAAGGACGUUUCAGGUGUUCUUUACCCAUAACCACUUUAGUGAUUACAACUUUUUUAUUCUAUUGCUAUGUUUGCUGAUUAUGUACUUCAUGUAAAACAUCUUAAGGAAAUCAUCCUUUACACUGUAUGAUUUGCAUUCGUCAUUAUUUUUUACUAUGACUAGUAUAACUAUUAUACUAUGACUAUAACCUCUUUAAUUCAUUCCAUGAAAGAUUUGAAAAAAAAAAAAAAGAAAAGAAAUUAGACCUACUUUUUGGAUCAUUAAGUAGUGCAUAAUCUUCAAAUGGGACAUUAAAAACUGUAAUCAGUGACAUCACCAUGACAACCGAUUAAGAAUUGUCUAGAGAAGCCUCUGAAAAUGCAAUUUUUUAAUAUAAUACAUUUAAAUGAGUUCAUCAGAACAAAGCACUCUAAGUAGAUUUAUUAUGAAUUGAACAUCUAGAAAUAAUUUGGAUAUACAAUGAACACUGAAAUUUUUUCACUCUGACUUCAGGAGAUAGGGGGUGGCAUCAAAAUUCUUUCUUGACUUUGAUAGACUUAGCAGGGGAGGGAAUAUCAAAGAAAAAAUCAGUUGUCUUGCACUAACAGACUGGAUUUCAUUAACUGGUUUUGGGGCAUGCUUCUUCCUGUAUUAUUUAGUCUCCUAACGUGUAGCUACAGUUUACACCAGGUGAGGGCCUCUAAGAAUUAGGCAUUGCUUAAAUUCCCCUUACGCUUUAGCCUGAUGAUCUUACACGAAGCUAUGCCCACUGUCCAGCUCACUCUAAUGAGUGAAACUGGAAGCAGCAGAAACAUCAUUCUGUCACAUAUCAACAGUAAAAUAUAAAUAAAACAUCAUACAAUGUCUACCUGCAGUAUAUUGUGUUACAUACCUAUAUAAAUGAUAUACUUAGUAGUUGAGGAAAAAAUACUCAUGUGACUAAAGGCCAAUCAAAAUAAUAUUUUUAUCUGUAUCACAGAAGAUUAAAGAGAAAUACAUAUAUACAUUUUUUACAGAUAAUCUGUUUGAAAAGAUUAGCUAUACUUAACAAGACUAAACUACCCAGCAUGCAUGAGCCCUGGCUCAUCCUCAGAACAGCUAAAAGAAUGUAGGAAUUUCUUCCUCAUGUCUCCCAGUUUCCAAGUUGCCUCUCUAAGUUACAGCUUGUUCUUGUCUUUUAUGGUUAUGUCUCCUUCUUCUGCCAGCUGUAUUUUUUAUGCCCUUUUCUAGAACAGAACUUGCACUAGUGACGUUGUUGCAAGCAGACUGCAUGUUUAGAACAAAGACUUUCCACAACGCUGCCUUGUGUAAGUGCUAUUGUUGCAGAAUGGGGAGGAGGUUUAAGUUUCAUCAUAGUAGAAGCUCUCACUUAGAAUGAUACAGUGUUUUUUACUGCAAGAAGUUCACAACAGGGACAGUAUGUCAGUCACUGUAAUCUGCCACUAUUCUACGUUGGCUGGGUCCGCAAUAUUUUAUAUCAGCUGCAAAUCUGCCUCUUAAAAGCAUGCUGGUCCAUCCUAAAGCACGAUGAAACUAGGAACGUUUUAGUCAAGGACUGCGUCUCAGACUGAAAUGACAGUCUGUCUUUGGCAUGCUCACCCUCCAAAAACUUUAACGCAGCUGCAGAAAAAUGUUCUUAAUGCCUUCAGAAAUCUGACUGAUUUGAAUUGGUAUCAAAACUAGAGGCAUUCCCAAAUCACCAAUCCCUUUUGAAAACCCAGGCUAUUAUACUUACAAAACACUGACUCUCCAUUAAACUCCUUGUUAUUCUUUUUCUAAUGAGACACUUUACCAGCCUGUCAUCACCCGCUGUGAUUAAUUCUCUACUUGUAAAAUUUUAGCUCUCUCUCUGCUGCUGCUGUUAAUGUGCUUUGUACCAAAUAAAAAUGAAGCUGAUGUUUACAAAUCCUGUCUGGAGGUUGCUUUAAAAAAGCCCUUCUUUGCCUUACAUUAAUGAGGCCAAGUACACCAAUUUUUGUUCAAAAUUAUUCUGGAUAAUUAAACACUGUAACAGACUACCAUGGAAGAUGUAAAACUCACUAUUGCUUAAAUGGCUCUAAAAUAUAAUAUCUUUCAAAAUAUAUGCCUACCUGUCCAUGGUCCACAUACAGACGAAUUCAGAUUUGAAGAUCGUAUGCAUUCUUCUCAUCUAAUGUUUGUGAAUCUAGGAAUAAGAAAAACCUUUUUGAAAAACAAAACAAAACAAAACAAACAACAGGAUUUACUCAUACAGUUAUCUUGAGUAAAAACUGAUAAAAAACUGCACAGCACAGAAUCUUGUACUGUUGAGUGCACUCAGGACAGUGCAGAAUUUAUCUCAGGCAGAUUAGGAAACAAGCACCAUAGCAAUAGAAACCUGUAAUUCUUUGCUGUAUGGUUCUCUGGAAAAUGGCUUCCCCGAGGGUGUUAUCUAAAAUUACAAGUGAAAAAGUACUUGCUGACUGGUAUAAUGAUGAGCACAGAAACAUUAUGUAUGCUCCUUGACUCUGCUUCUACCCUCUCUAGUUCUGCAUGUUCUGAAGCCAGUCCAACUCACAGUCCAAGACUGUGCAACACUUUUCACAAUGCACAUGAAGGAGACAUCUGUACAGUUAAGUAGACCUUUGUUGAAGACUGAUUUGAAAAUAGAUCUUCACAACAAUCUAAAACCUUGACAGACAACAUGGAAGUGAAAGACGGGGCUGAAUCAAACUUUCACUGCUACAUAGUAAUGUUAUUGCAAUACAAGAGUGGAUGCCUGCUCAUCCUUCUGCUUUAGAAGAACUUCAGAAGUUAUCCUAUCUCACGGUUUUUAAGGAAUGAAGGAAGACAACAUCUAAUUCAUCUAAUAAGCACAGUGGC
Molecule: long non-coding RNA, 4924 nt
Filed under: Gallus gallus (chicken)
Lineage: Eukaryota; Metazoa; Chordata; Aves; Galliformes; Phasianidae
Source: RNAcentral